Molecule: ribosomal RNA, 1353 nt
Filed under: uncultured marine eukaryote
Lineage: Eukaryota
Description: SSU rRNA
Rfam family: Eukaryotic small subunit ribosomal RNA
Source: RNAcentral
CACUUCUAAGGAAGGCAGCAGGCGCGCAAAUUACCCAAUCCUGACUCAGGGAGGUAGUGACAAGAAAUGACAAUAAACCGGCAUCAGCCGGUUUAAUUGGAAUGAAUACAAUUUAAACAUCUUAACGAGGAACAAUUGGAGGGCAAGUCUGGUGCCAGCAGCCGCGGUAAUUCCAGCUCCAAUAGCGUAUACUAAAGUUGUUGCAGUUAAAAAGCUCGUAGUUGGAUUUCUGCGGGAGCGGGGCGGCACACCCACUAUGUGGGUUGUAGCUAGCACUUCUCCUGCAUCCUGCCGCGAACCGUGCUACCAUUAGUUUGGUGGCGCCGGGGAUCGGCUCGUUUACUUUGAGAAAAAUAGAGUGUUCAAAGCAGGCCACACGCCUUGAAUAAGUUAGCAUGGAAUAAUGAUUAAGGACUUCGGUUCUAUUUUGUUGGUGUUCGGGACUGAAGUAAUGAUUGAUAGGGACAGUUGGGGCGGUCUGUAUUCCAAAGCGAGAGGUGAAAUUCUUAGACCUUCGGAAGACAAACAGCUGCGAAAGCGUUCCGCAAGGAUGUUCCCUUUGAUCAAGAACGAAAGUUGGGGGAUCGAAGACGAUCAGAUACCGUCGUAGUCUCAACUAUAAACUAUACCAGCUAGGGAUCGGCCAACGUUUCUUUAUACCGACUUGGUCGGCACCUUAUGAGAAAUCAAAGCAUCUGGGUUCCGGGGGGAGUAUGGCCGCAAGGCUGAAACUUAAAGGAAUUGACGGAAGGGCACCACCAGCCGUGGAGCCUGUGGCUUAAUUUGACUCAACACGGGAAAACUUACCAGGUCCAGACAUAGUAAGGAUUGACAGAUUGAUAGCUCUUUCUUGAUUCUGUGGGUGGUGGUGCAUGGCCGUUCUUAGUUGGUGGAGUGAUUUGUCUGGUUAAUUCCGUUAACGGACGAGACCCCAGCCUGCUAAAUAGCGCGCAUGAGCUUUGCUCGUGGCGAGCUUCUUAGAGGGACUAUGAUGCGCGAUAGCACAUGGAAGUUUGGGGCAAUAACAGGUCUGUGAUGCCCUUAGAUGUUCUGGGCCGCACACGGGCUACACUGGCGCCUGCAACGAGCAUAUCAGCUGGCCCGAGAGGGUCUUGGCUAAUCUUUUGAACCGGCGCCGUGCUUGGGAUUGACCUUUGCAAUUGUUGGUCAUGCAACGAGGAAUGCCUUGUAAACGCGAGUCAUCAGCUCGCAUUGAAUACGUCCCUGCCCUUUGUACACACCGCCCGUCGCUCCUACCGAUGAAUGUUCCGAUGAAAUUUUCGGAGAGCACCUGUGAACUUGGCUCUGCCUUGCGAACGGGAGGCUCAAAGUCACUUAAAUCUGAACAUUUCG